Molecule: non-coding RNA, 386 nt
Organism: Paramuricea clavata
Lineage: Eukaryota; Metazoa; Cnidaria; Anthozoa; Malacalcyonacea; Plexauridae
Source: the annotation of a GenBank genome assembly
GGGGGUUUGGAAAAUCAGGACAAACUCGGACAUAGGGGGGGAGGGGGUGUUUUUAGCAAUCCGGAUGUCCGAAAUUUAAAAAAAAUCAAAAACAAAUUUCUUUUUCCCUCUAUUUUGAGCAGUCCUUCCCAUUGUGAAAUUGGCAUUUUGACUAUGCGGUUAACACUAGAUUUUGUUUUAAUUAGUAAUUUAUAUGUUUUUGUGUUCACAUUUACAGUUAUAAAAAAGUUCUAAAAGUAAAAAAAGUUUUUUACUCUUGAUAUAUACAAGGUUGCGUGAGUUUUUGCGAGGCAUGGCGGAUGUCCGGGGGGAGGGGGGGUCACUAAUUCGGACAAUGCCGGACAAGGAAGGGAGGGGGGGGUCGGAAAAUCCAUCAUUUGGCUGGA